Molecule: ribosomal RNA, 482 nt
Filed under: uncultured bacterium
Lineage: Bacteria
Description: partial 16S ribosomal RNA
Rfam family: Bacterial small subunit ribosomal RNA
Source: RNAcentral
AAUGAACGUUGGCGGCGUGGAUUAGGCAUGCAAGUCGAGCGAGAACCGGUUUCGGCCGGGGACAGCGGCGAACGGCGUAGUAAUGCAUCGGAACGUACCCUCUGGUCGGGGAUAGCUACGGGAAACUGUAGGUAAUACCCGAUGAUCUCUGCGGAGCAAAGGUGAGAUUCCGCCGGAGGGGCGGCUGAUGUGAUAUUAGCUAGUUGGUGGGGUAAUGGCCUACCAAGGCGAUGAUGUCUAGGGGGUGUGAGAGCAUGGCCCCCACGACCGGAACUGAGAUACUGUCCGGACACCUACGGGUGGCUGCAGUCGAGAAUCUUCCGCAAUGGACGAAAGUCUGACGGAGCGACGCCGCGUGCGGGAUGAAGGCCCUUGGGUUGUAAACCGCUGUCAGAGGGGAUGAAAUCUUCGGAGGUACUCCUCCGAAGUUGACAGAGCCUCAAAGGAAGCACGGGCUAAGUACGUGCCAGCCGCCGCGGUAA